Molecule: long non-coding RNA, 397 nt
Filed under: Trifolium pratense (red clover)
Lineage: Eukaryota; Viridiplantae; Streptophyta; Magnoliopsida; Fabales; Fabaceae
Description: long non-coding RNA (TPRA_LNC005142)
Source: RNAcentral
CAAAAUCAAUCAUUCAUAAUCAUCAAAGAAUCAAAGCAUGAAUUUGAAAUAGUCUCAAAACUCAAGUAAGAUUUCAAGCUUUCCAAAUCAACAAGAUAAUCAACUAGAAUCACAAUUCUCACAAGUGUUUCAACUCAAGGGGGUAGUGUUUCUCACAAUCCAAACAAUGUGUUCACAACAAAUCAAUUCAAACAUACAUCUCAACAAAUCACAAGACAUGCUAUCAAUCAUGGAUCACUAAGGUCUUUCUUAAGCUUGUAAAGGGGCUAGGCUAUAAGAAAUCAUUGUUUUUCUUUGGAUUCAAAAAGCCUCAAGGAUAAAAGAGCACAAAAUCUUCAAAAAUUCAUCUUAUGAUUCAUUUACUCCCUUUCACUUUCCCCAUAUUUCCAUUUGUGGU